RNAcentral lists this ribosomal RNA (503 nucleotides) under uncultured Actinomycetes bacterium. RNAcentral's name for it is "bacterial SSU rRNA". It matches the Rfam family "Bacterial small subunit ribosomal RNA", at positions 8 to 522 of the family's 1533-position model. Lineage: Bacteria; Bacillati; Actinomycetota; Actinomycetes. The record is from RNAcentral.
AGAGUUUGAUCAUGGCUCAGGAUGAACGCUGGCGGCGUGCUUAACACAUGCAAGUCGAACGAUGAUCCGGUGCUUGCACCGGGGAUUAGUGGCGAACGGGUGAGUAACACGUGAGUAACCUGCCCUUAACUCUGGGAUAAGCCUGGGAAACUGGGUCUAAUACCGGAUAUGACUCCUCAUCGCAUGGUGGGGGGUGGAAAGCUUUAUUGUGGUUUUGGAUGGACUCGCGGCCUAUCAGCUUGUUGGUGAGGUAAUGGCUCACCAAGGCGACGACGGGUAGCCGGCCUGAGAGGGUGACCGGCCACACUGGGACUGAGACACGGCCCAGGCUCCUACGGGAGGCAGCAGUGGGGAAUAUUGCACAAUGGGCGCAAGCCUGAUGCAGCGACGCCGCGUGAGGGAUGACGGCCUUCGGGUUGUAAACCUCUUUCAGUAGGGAAGAAGCGAAAGUGACGGUACCUGCAGAAGAAGCGCCGGCUAACUACGUGCCAGCAGCCGCGGUA